Molecule: ribosomal RNA, 379 nt
Filed under: Pinnularia borealis var. subislandica
Lineage: Eukaryota; Bacillariophyta; Bacillariophyceae; Sellaphorales; Pinnulariaceae
Description: eukaryotic LSU rRNA
Rfam family: Eukaryotic large subunit ribosomal RNA
Source: RNAcentral
AAGGGCGACUGAACUGUCACUAGCUCAGCAUGUGAAUCAGCGGCGCUGAAUUGUGGUCUUAAGGUUCUUGCAUCCAGUCCAUGUUUUUUGGAAUAAAACAGCAAAGAGGGUGAAACUCCCGUGUGACUGGANUCACUACUGAGUCGAGUUGUUUGGGAUUGCAGCUCAAAUACGGUGGUAAAUUUCAUCUCAAGCUAAAUACUAAAAGGAGACCGAUAGCGCACAAGUACCGUGAGGGAAAGAUGACAAGAACUUUGAAAAGAGAGUGAAAGAGUACCUGAAAUUGCUGAAAAGGAAGCGAACGAACCUAGUGAAGCAAUGUCAUACUUUCCAACUUGCUCGCAACUUGGACGCUGUGGCUUGCCAAGUUCCACUGCAU